UGGGGAAUAUUGGACAAUGGGCGAAAGCCUGAUCCAGCCAUGCCGCGUGAGUGAUGACGGCCUUCGGGUUGUAAAGCUCUUUUGGGUGGGACGAUAAUGACGGUACCACCAGAAUAAGAUCCGGCUAACUUCGUGCCAGCAGCCGCGGUAAUACGAAGGGAUCUAGCGUUGUUCGGAUUUACUGGGCGUAAAGGGCGCGUAGGCGGUCUAGCAAGUAAGGUGUGAAAGCCCUGAGCUUAACUCGGGAACU
RNAcentral lists this ribosomal RNA (250 nucleotides) under uncultured bacterium. RNAcentral describes it as "partial 16S ribosomal RNA". It matches the Rfam family "Bacterial small subunit ribosomal RNA", at positions 355 to 622 of the family's 1533-position model. The record is from RNAcentral.